Cavia porcellus (domestic guinea pig) is the source of this 1494-nucleotide long non-coding RNA. RefSeq lists it as uncharacterized. Lineage: Eukaryota; Metazoa; Chordata; Mammalia; Rodentia; Caviidae. The transcript has 2 exons. The record is from RefSeq and is a predicted model, not a curated record.
UCUAUGGGAAAUCUAAAAUAACAGAGCAGAGAAUGGGGGCUACCAGGGGCCACUGGUCAAACAACUCGAAGGUUCAUUUGCACAGGAGAAACAAGCCCAAGAGCUCUACAUUUGGGAACUACUUACUGCAUCUUCAAAAUUGCUAAAAGUGGUUAGCUGCUCUCACCAUGAAAAAUGAUGGUGGGGUCAGGCUCUGGGAGGAGCUGAGGUCCUGAGCAGGGAGCCUCCUGGAUGGGACCAGAACCUUCAUAAAAGAGACCCCAUGGCACUGCCUCCCCAGCCCCCAUGUAAAGACAGAGAGAGAUGGCGCCAUCUACAACCCAGGAAGUGGCUUCUCAGCAGACUCCAAAUCUGUCACUGCCCCAUUUUGUCUCGGACUUCCGGCCUCUAGGACUGUGACAAAGCAAUCUGGGUCUUGUAUAAAUCAUCCAAGGCUGCUGCACUCAGUGACUGAGCUAGAUUGUGUCGGGAUUCUAGAGCAGAAACAGCUUUUCCUUGGAGGUAAGCAGUGGCAGAGGAGUGACAGUGAGUGUGAGAUUACAGGAAGCUGGAGGAAAUGUCACCUGAGAUAUCAACAAGGAAGCAGUGUAGGAUGGGGGUGGGGUGGGGAUUGGGAUGUGGAGCGGUCCCUGGAUGGGCAGAGAUAGGCACUCAGAAUGGGGACAGCUACAGAGCAGGACACUGAACAGAUACAGAUGUGGGAGGGGAAAGAAAGGACACCACCUUGGGGACAAUGUGUUUUAAUAAGGGUGGCUGGAAGAGAAGGCACCCAUGAAGUGAUGGCCAGGGAUCUCAGAGGAGAGCAACCAAGUUGUGCCUGACAGUCCAGACCACUUGUUUGUUAACUGGUCUGGAAAGGGGAAAGGGAAUGGAAUUUGGCAGGACAUAAACUACCUCAAGGCUGGACAGUUUUAAGGUCACAUUAGCAUUUCAGGGCAGGCAGGCCUGAAGUGUGAUGGUAAACUUUGUAAAUAGGUGCCUUGCUAAGUUCUAUAGUUGCUAUUUUAUUUAAAAGAGGAAAUGUGAAUUGUGUUCGAUUUCUGUGCAUCAUCACUGACUUUUUUUCCUUCUUCUUCUUCUUAAUUUUGAGACAGUCUUACUAGGUUGCCUAGGCUGGCUUUGAACUCACAUAGUCUUCCUGCCUCAGCCUCCAAGAAUACUGGAAUUCCAGGCAUUUACCACCCAUGCCUGGCCUAUCAACAACCUUUAAAGUAGCAAGGGAUAAUUUAAGCUUCGUACAAACAUCUUUAAUAGAAUCUAACCUUUUUUUUUUUGGUGUUAAAACUAACAAAAGAUUUUUUUGCUACAUAUUUAAGCCACUGUAAUUAGAAACGAUUUUCACUUAAAUUGUUUUCCUCUUCUAACAAAUUAACAACCACAAGAAUGGCCAAGACUUACUUGCAAAAUGUUGCUGGUUUUCAUUUUAAAAUUUUGUUUUUUAUGAACUUAGUCAAAAUGAUGUCUUUUCUGUUCUGAUAAACGUAAAAGAACUCA